GUUCCCGUAGUUAAAUUUUNNUAACGGUGGUUUUUCAGGCCACAGAUCUUGGAGAAAGACCGAGUGGGAAUU
Molecule: transfer RNA, 72 nt
Filed under: Cinclosoma clarum
Lineage: Eukaryota; Metazoa; Chordata; Aves; Passeriformes; Cinclosomatidae
Description: tRNA-Glu
Source: RNAcentral